AUGGACCAUUCCAUCCCUUAUUCCCGUGGCUAUGCAUCAGAUUCGGAUGACGAAGGUCCCGACGAACAAGUUGAUGAGGAGGGGUUCACGGUGAAGGAGGCCGAAGCUUUCGAGAAGGUAUUCGGUCGGGAUCAUCGGACUACAUUGUUCAAGGAUGUUAGUCUCGCGGAUGAAUCCGUGGUAGAUGGUGGCCAAGGUAUAUCUCUUGGGGUUAGGCAAAUCUCUCAC
This 228-nucleotide ribosomal RNA is filed under the name Triticum aestivum (bread wheat). Its description in RNAcentral is "partial small subunit ribosomal RNA". Lineage: Eukaryota; Viridiplantae; Streptophyta; Magnoliopsida; Poales; Poaceae. The record is from RNAcentral.